Molecule: regulatory RNA element, 86 nt
Organism: Paenibacillus macerans
Lineage: Bacteria; Bacillati; Bacillota; Bacilli; Caryophanales; Paenibacillaceae
Source: Rfam
CACAUGCUGUAACCGCUCCGGUCGGGUCGACAAGUCCGCUUUCCUUCGGACGGCGGCACCUGAAUCAGGCGAGUCUGAGACAUGAG